Molecule: unclassified non-coding RNA, 215 nt
Filed under: soil metagenome
Description: partial contains 5.8S ribosomal RNA, internal transcribed spacer 2, and large subunit ribosomal RNA
Source: RNAcentral
AACCAUAGAAACCUGCGGAGUACCUGCGGAGGGAUCAUUACAAGUGACCCCGGUCUAACCACCGGGAUGUUCAUAACCCUUUGUUGUCCGACUCUGUUGCCUCCGGGGCGACCCUGCCUUCGGGCGGGGGCUCCGGGUGGACACUUCAAACUCUUGCGUAACUUUGCAGUCUGAGUAAACUUAAUUAAUAAAUUAAAACUUUUAGCAACGGAUCU